GUGAUUGAUCUGUUAAUCAAGUAAACAUUCUUACCGAGCAAAACCAAGGUCGUUAGGUAUUUGGAUUGGGAACUUGCUGUCUGGAGGAGCAUGAGUGGUCAUGGGUCGACUGAAGAGACUCAUGUGAUUAUUUGUUUACUUUUACACAUUGGCUUUCGAACAACUUAAUUAUGGUUUAUUAUUUGCUUCCGCUAAACAUAUUGAAUUUCGUAUAAACUUGUGAUGGAAUUGUUAUUAAUAAUUGAGAAUUUUAUUUUGAAACUUGUGGGUUCAAUGUAAUUAGUGGCUCAUUGUCAGUACGUCACACGCCUAUCAGGGACACUCCCUAGGUGGUAUUUUGGGGGUGUGACAGUUUGGUAUCAGAGCCACUAGUUAUAGUGAACUUGGUUUUAAAAUGUUUUUAUAAAACCAGACUAUAACCGAACAGUUCUGAAAACAAGAAUACGACCAUGACACUCAGCUCCAGAUUGCAAGACAUUCGUGACUCGCGUUUGGUGAUGUUCUUUGCUUGCUACUCGAGUUUAGGGAACCAUUUGACAUGA
Molecule: long non-coding RNA, 542 nt
Filed under: Helianthus annuus (common sunflower)
Lineage: Eukaryota; Viridiplantae; Streptophyta; Magnoliopsida; Asterales; Asteraceae
Description: sRNA HanXRQr2_Chr17g0804211
Source: RNAcentral